UCAACAUGAGAGUUUGAUCCUGGCUCAGAACGAACGCUGGCGGCAGGCUUAACACAUGCAAGUCGAGCGCCCC
RNAcentral lists this ribosomal RNA (73 nucleotides) under Rhizobium leguminosarum. RNAcentral describes it as "partial 16S ribosomal RNA". It matches the Rfam family "Bacterial small subunit ribosomal RNA", at positions 1 to 72 of the family's 1533-position model. Lineage: Bacteria; Pseudomonadati; Pseudomonadota; Alphaproteobacteria; Hyphomicrobiales; Rhizobiaceae. The record is from RNAcentral.